AACGAACGCUGGCGGCAGGCCUAACACAUGCAAGUCGAAACGCUCCGCAAGGGGAGUGGCGCACGGGUGAGUAAACACGUGGGAACCUACCUUCUGGUACGGAACAACCAAGGGAAACUUUGGCUAAGACCGUAUACGACCUCCGGGUGAAAGAUUGAUCGCCGGAAGAGGGGCCCGCGUCCGAUUAGGUAGUUGGUGAGGUAACGGCUCACCAAGCCUUCGAUCGGUAGCUGGU
This 235-nucleotide ribosomal RNA is filed under the name uncultured bacterium. RNAcentral's name for it is "partial 16S ribosomal RNA". It matches the Rfam family "Bacterial small subunit ribosomal RNA", at positions 29 to 291 of the family's 1533-position model. The record is from RNAcentral.